RNAcentral lists this non-coding RNA (155 nucleotides) under uncultured Enterovibrio sp. Its description in RNAcentral is "FMN riboswitch (RFN element)". It matches the Rfam family "FMN riboswitch aptamer (RFN element)". From Rfam's summary of the family: The RFN element is a highly conserved domain that is found frequently in the 5'-untranslated regions of prokaryotic mRNAs that encode for flavin mononucleotide (FMN) biosynthesis and transport proteins. This element is a metabolite-dependent riboswitch that directly binds FMN in the absence of proteins. The record is from RNAcentral. Lineage: Bacteria; Pseudomonadati; Pseudomonadota; Gammaproteobacteria; Vibrionales; Vibrionaceae.
UAUUCUCAGGGCGGGGUGAAAUUCCCCACCGGCGGUAUGUCAGCAAGCAAUGGUUGCGAGACUGACGAGCCCGCGAGCGCCCAGACGUUGGUUUGGGGUCAGCAGACUUGGUGAGAGGCCAAGGCCGACGGUUAAAGUCCGGAUGAAAGAGGAUG